RNAcentral lists this ribosomal RNA (557 nucleotides) under Austruca bengali. Its description in RNAcentral is "partial 16S rRNA". It matches the Rfam family "Bacterial large subunit ribosomal RNA", at positions 1819 to 2625 of the family's 2925-position model. Lineage: Eukaryota; Metazoa; Arthropoda; Malacostraca; Decapoda; Ocypodidae. The record is from RNAcentral.
GUCUGUUUGAAGAUAUAAAAAGUCUGGCCUGCCCACUGAUAAUUUUUUUAAGGGCCGCGGUAAUUUGACCGUGCAAAGGUAGCAUAAUCGUUAGUUUUUUAAUUGGAAUCUUGUAUGAAUGGUUGAACAAAAGAAUAACUGUCUCUAUAUUUUUCUUGAAUUUAACUUUUGAGUGAAAAGGCUAAAAUAUUUUAAAAAGACGAUAAGACCCUGUAAAGCUUAAUAAAUUUCUGUUAUUCAAUUAAAUUUAAUAAUAAAUUUAUAAAAAUUUAUUAUAAGAAUAUAUUUUGUUGGGGCGACAAUGAUAAAAUGUUUAUUAACUGUUAAAAUUUUAGGACAUGGAUACAUGAUUAGUUAAUAUAAAAUGAUCCUUUAUAAAGAUUAAAAGUUUAAGUUACUUCAGGGAUAACAGCGUUAUUUUUAUUGAGAGUUCAUAUCGAAAUAAAAUUUUGCGACCUCGAUGUUGAAUUAAAAUUUCUUUAUAGUUGCAGCAGCUAUAAAAGAAGGUCUGUUCGACCUUUAAAUUUUUACAUGAUUUGAGUUCAGACCGGCGUGAG